CUACGGGUCGCAGCAGUGGGGAAUAUUGCACAAUGGGCGCAAGCCUGAUGCAGCAACGCCGCGUGAGGGAUGAAGGCCUUCGGGUUGUAAACCUCUUUUAGCAGGGAAGAAGCGAAAGUGACGGUACCUGCAGAAAAAGCACCGGCUAACUACGUGCCAGCAGCCGCGGUAAUACGUAGGGUGCAAGCGUUGUCCGGAAUUAUUGGGCGGAAAGAGCUCGUAGGCGGUUUGUCACGUCUGCUGUGAAAAUCCAAGGCUCAACCUUGGACUUGCAGUGGGUACGGGCCGGCUAGAGUGCGGUAGGGGAGAUGGGAAUUCCUGGUGUAGCGGUGGAAUGCGCAGAUAUCAGGAGGAACACCAAUGGCGAAGGCACAUCUCUGGGCCGUAACUGACGCUGAGGAGCGAAAGCGUGGGGAGCGAACAGGAUUAGAUACCCGAGUAGUC
This 444-nucleotide ribosomal RNA is filed under the name uncultured bacterium. RNAcentral's name for it is "partial 16S ribosomal RNA". It matches the Rfam family "Bacterial small subunit ribosomal RNA", at positions 339 to 795 of the family's 1533-position model. The record is from RNAcentral.